Molecule: long non-coding RNA, 634 nt
Filed under: Olea europaea (common olive)
Lineage: Eukaryota; Viridiplantae; Streptophyta; Magnoliopsida; Lamiales; Oleaceae
Description: long non-coding RNA (OEUR_LNC002404)
Source: RNAcentral
UCUGCAUUUAUUAAACCAUGCAGAACCCUGUCUCUCUGUAACAAUUUUUUAGUAUUCUGAUUAAAUUCAGAAACCAAAAUUCAAAGAAAAAAAUCAAAAAUACAGAAAUACUAAUUACUUGUUCUCGGGGAGAGAGAGAGAGAGAGAGAGAGAGAGAGAGCAAAUCAAGAAUUGGUUUGUGUUUUUUCACAUAAUUUUUGUACAGUGGGGAACAGAGAACAAGGGUUUCAAAAUUUAAAGCUCAGUUAUGAAAGAAGAAUCAAAAGAGUCCAUUCCUCAGAAACUUGAAUAAACGAUAACCAAAAACUUAAAACCCGCUUGUUCGAUUUUAGCAGAUCAAAACGACCAAGAAUUCCAUAAUUCACCACCAUCAAAGUGGAAAGAACAAGAAACGGGAACUUAAAUUCAGGUUAAGCUGAGAAAGGGGUCUACCUUCAUUUCUAGGGCUGCCCUGAUUAACCCUCGGUUUGCGGCAUCUGGAAUCCUUGGCAACACCAAAGCAAAAUUUCAAUUUCUGUAAUUGCAAUUGGUAGAUUUUAUUUUUUCAACAAUGACCCACGUCAAUUUUUAUUAUCUUUCGAAGGAUUGUUGAUCUAAUAUUGAUUAGAUUCCUUGUUUAUGGGUUUUUAUCUUC